AACUUUCAACAAAGGAUCUCUUGGCUCUCGUAUCGAUGAAGAACGCAGCAAAGCGCGAAAUGUAAUGUGAAUUGCAGAACAUUGUGAAUCAUCGAAUCUUUGAACGCACAUUGCGCCUCCCGUCAAUGGGAGGCAUGCCUGUCUGAGCGUCGUUU
This 155-nucleotide ribosomal RNA is filed under the name uncultured fungus. RNAcentral describes it as "5.8S ribosomal RNA". It matches the Rfam family "5.8S ribosomal RNA". From Rfam's summary of the family: 5.8S ribosomal RNA (5.8S rRNA) is a component of the large subunit of the eukaryotic ribosome. The record is from RNAcentral. Lineage: Eukaryota; Fungi.